CCUACGGGUGGCUGCAGUGAGGAAUAUUGGUCAAUGGCCGAGAGGCUGAACCAGCCAAGUCGCGUGAGGGAAGAAUGCCCUAUGGAUUGUAAACCUCUUUUGUCAGGGAGCAAAGUCCCUCACGUGUGGGGUUUGGAGAGUACCUGAAGAAAAAGCAUCGGCUAAUUCCGUGCCAGCAGCCGCGGUAAUACGGAGGAUGCGAGCGUUCUCCGGAUUUAUUGGGUUUAAGGGGUGCGUAGGCGGGUUAUCAAGGCAGCGGUAAAAUCGUGGCGCUCAACUCCAUCCAGCCGUUGAAACGGGCGAGCUUGAGUGCGCGAGAAGUAUGCGGAAUGCGUGGUGUAGCGGUGAAAUGCAUAGAUAUCACGCAGAACUCCGAUUGCGAAGGCAGCAUACCGGCGCCCGACUGACGCUGAAGCGCGAAAGCGUGGGUAUCGAACAGGAUUAGAUACCCUGGGAGUC
RNAcentral lists this ribosomal RNA (459 nucleotides) under uncultured bacterium. RNAcentral describes it as "partial 16S ribosomal RNA". It matches the Rfam family "Bacterial small subunit ribosomal RNA", at positions 338 to 795 of the family's 1533-position model. The record is from RNAcentral.